GUGUGGACGGGAUAAGUGCUGAAAGCAUCUAAGCAUGAAGCCCCCCUCAAGAUGAGAUUUCCCAACUUCGGUUAUAAGAUCCCUCAAAGAUGAUGAGGUUAAUAGGUUCGAGGUGGAAGCAUGGUGACAUGUGGAGCUGACGAAUACUAAUCGAUCGAAGACUUAAUCAAAA
Molecule: ribosomal RNA, 172 nt
Filed under: Staphylococcus aureus
Lineage: Bacteria; Bacillati; Bacillota; Bacilli; Caryophanales; Staphylococcaceae
Description: partial 23S ribosomal RNA
Rfam family: Bacterial large subunit ribosomal RNA
Source: RNAcentral